The sequence is a transfer RNA, 74 nucleotides long. It matches the Rfam family "tRNA". Rfam says of the family: Transfer RNA (tRNA) molecules are approximately 80 nucleotides in length. Their secondary structure includes four short double-helical elements and three loops (D, anti-codon, and T loops).
GUGGCUAGCUCAGUUGGUAGAGCCCCGGAUCGUGAUUCCGGUUGUCGUGGGGUCGAGCCCCAUUAGCCACCCCA